GGUUCCAUAGUGUAGCAGGUAGCACAUCUGCUUUACAGGCAGAAGGUCCUAGGUUUGCGUUCCAGUGGAGCCA
This 73-nucleotide transfer RNA is filed under the name Pteropus alecto (black flying fox). It matches the Rfam family "tRNA". Rfam says of the family: Transfer RNA (tRNA) molecules are approximately 80 nucleotides in length. Their secondary structure includes four short double-helical elements and three loops (D, anti-codon, and T loops). Further hydrogen bonds mediate the characteristic L-shaped molecular structure. tRNAs have two regions of fundamental functional importance: the anti-codon, which is responsible for specific mRNA codon recognition, and the 3' end, to which the tRNAs corresponding amino acid is attached (by aminoacyl-tRNA synthetases). tRNAs cope with the degeneracy of the genetic code in two manners: having more than one tRNA (with a specific anti-codon) for a particular amino acid; and 'wobble' base-pairing, i.e. permitting non-standard base-pairing at the 3rd anti-codon position. The record is from Rfam by way of RNAcentral. Lineage: Eukaryota; Metazoa; Chordata; Mammalia; Chiroptera; Pteropodidae.